AUGGUAAAGGGCCUUCUCUUCCCUGUUCUUCCUGGAGUCAGGAAAAGCUGGGUUGAGAUGGGGGAAAAAUAUGAUA
This 76-nucleotide microRNA precursor is filed under the name Callithrix jacchus (white-tufted-ear marmoset). RNAcentral's name for it is "mir-320 microRNA precursor family". It matches the Rfam family "mir-320 microRNA precursor family". Lineage: Eukaryota; Metazoa; Chordata; Mammalia; Primates; Cebidae. The record is from Rfam by way of RNAcentral.